GGGAGAAAAAGGUGUUCCAGGAGUUCCAGGUCUGAUUGGUGAAGCUGGCCAACUGGGUGAAAUUGGUGACAGAGGAGACACUAUGAAUUUGCCAGGAAGUAAAGGUUCUAAAGGAAUUCCUGGACCAGCUGGACCAGCAGGGUUGAAAGGUGACAAAGGAAAGAAGGGUGAUGCUGGGGAUCAAGGAUAUCGUGGUGUGGAAGGCAUGGAAGGCCCUCAAGGCUCCCAGGGAUUAAUAGGGCAAGGAGG
Non-coding RNA from Notechis scutatus (mainland tiger snake), 249 nucleotides. Lineage: Eukaryota; Metazoa; Chordata; Lepidosauria; Squamata; Elapidae. The record is from RefSeq and is a predicted model, not a curated record.